GUCUUUUAGAAAUUAAUUUAAAGUCUAACCUGCCCACUGAAUUUUUUUAAAUGGCCGCAGUAUCCUAACUGUGCAAAGGUAGCAUAAUCAUUAGUCUUUUAAUUGAAGGCUGGAAUGAAUGGUUGGAUGAAAUAUUAACUGUUUCAUAAAAAUUUAUAAUAGAAUUUUAUUUUUUAGUCAAAAAGCUAAAAUUUAAUUAAAAGACGAGAAGACCCUAUAAAUCUUUAUAUUUAUAAAAUUACAAUUAUAUAGAUAAUUUAAAUUUUAAUUUUUUAUAAUAUUUUAUUGGGGUGAUAUUAAAAUUUAAUAAACUUUUAAUUUAUAAUUUACAUAAAUUAAUGAAUUUUUGAUCCAUUUAUUAUGAUUAAAAAAUUAAGUUACUUUAGGGAUAACAGCGUAAUUUUUUUAGAGAGUUCAUAUUGAUAAAAAAGAUUGCGACCUCGAUGUUGGAUUAAGAUACAGUUUUAGGUGCAGCAGCUUAAACUUAAAGUCUGUUCGACUUUUAAAUUCUUACAUGAUC
Molecule: ribosomal RNA, 520 nt
Filed under: Myriophora sp. H39
Lineage: Eukaryota; Metazoa; Arthropoda; Insecta; Diptera; Phoridae
Description: partial 16S ribosomal RNA
Rfam family: Bacterial large subunit ribosomal RNA (bases 388-520)
Source: RNAcentral